Long non-coding RNA from Drosophila arizonae, 127 nucleotides. The record is from RefSeq and is a predicted model, not a curated record. NCBI's taxonomy places the organism in Eukaryota, Metazoa, Arthropoda, Insecta, Diptera, Drosophilidae.
UCUGUUUAUGCUCUCGAUGUAUUUCAUAAUUAAGGCCAUUUUGUUGCUGUGUGUGUGUGAGUGGGAUUCUGUGUGGGUGUGUAUGUGUGUGUGUGUAUGCUUGUUUGUUGUUGUUGUUGUUGCUGUU